RNAcentral lists this ribosomal RNA (253 nucleotides) under uncultured bacterium. RNAcentral describes it as "partial 16S ribosomal RNA". It matches the Rfam family "Bacterial small subunit ribosomal RNA", at positions 524 to 776 of the family's 1533-position model. The record is from RNAcentral.
UACGGAGGGUGCAAGCGUUAUCCGGAUUUACUGGGCUUAAAGGGUGCGCAGGCGGGCUUUUAAGUCAGCGGUGAAAUCUCCGGGCUCAGCCCGGAAAUUGCCGUUGAUACUAUUAGUCUUGAAUUAAGUUGAGGUGGGCGGAAUAUGUCAUGUAGCGGUGAAAUGCUUAGAUAUGACAUAGAACACCGAUUGCGAAGGCAGCUCGCUAAACUUAUAUUGACGCUGAGGCACGAAAGCGUGGGGAGCAAACAGG